RNAcentral lists this transfer RNA (81 nucleotides) under Podarcis lilfordi (Lilford's wall lizard). Its description in RNAcentral is "tRNA.Ala". It matches the Rfam family "tRNA". From Rfam's summary of the family: Transfer RNA (tRNA) molecules are approximately 80 nucleotides in length. Their secondary structure includes four short double-helical elements and three loops (D, anti-codon, and T loops). Further hydrogen bonds mediate the characteristic L-shaped molecular structure. tRNAs have two regions of fundamental functional importance: the anti-codon, which is responsible for specific mRNA codon recognition, and the 3' end, to which the tRNAs corresponding amino acid is attached (by aminoacyl-tRNA synthetases). tRNAs cope with the degeneracy of the genetic code in two manners: having more than one tRNA (with a specific anti-codon) for a particular amino acid; and 'wobble' base-pairing, i.e. permitting non-standard base-pairing at the 3rd anti-codon position. The record is from RNAcentral. Lineage: Eukaryota; Metazoa; Chordata; Lepidosauria; Squamata; Lacertidae.
AGGACCAUAGUUCAGUGGUAGAGCAUCUGCUUUGCAUGCAGAAGGUCUCAGGUUCAAUCCCAGCAUUCCUGAUGGGGCUGG